UGCUCUCUCUGCAGCCCUCAGUCUCUUAUUCAACCUGUAGUAUAACGUUCUUAUUACUCUUUAAACUCAAAUUAUUUAUUAUUAUUACGCGGGAAUAAAAUUAAAACUUACAGAAUAAUAACUUGGAUGGUUGGAAUAAUUUUUUAAAAUAAAAUUCAUUUAAAUUUUUGAAUUCUUAAUAAAAGACUUUUAAGUUGAGAUAAAAAAGCUUGUCACUGAAGCAUUUUAACUGCUCGAGUGAUUGCACAUGAGUGAAAUGAAAAGGUUGAAGGUGGAUAGUAAAAAAUAAAAUAUUUUACGUGGAUAUAAAAACACGCGGUGGUAAAAAGUGAUAGUAUAAAAUGAAAAAACGGAUGCAUGGGUACGAGUAUGUACAAGUGUUGGAGUGGUGUGUGAAGAUUGAAGAAAUGCCAUUGGAAAAUAGAAUAUAGGAAUCCUUUAUAAAAUAUAUAGGGAGAUAUAUAAAAUGUUACGAGUCCCUUGGACGAUUGAACUCGACGGAAAGUUUCAAUUUCGCGCUCACCGGUCAGUGUCUCGGCGGGAUACCUAGAGACAGUGCGAUAUCGUUCUCGUGAGAGGUGAUUAGCUCUAACAAGAUACAGUUAAUAUUGUCGGGUGAAAAUAACAAACUAUAUUCUGUUGAAUUUUUAUUUAAGGGUGCAAGUCAGUUAAUUUAUCAAACGAUUGCAAGUUAAAUAAAAAUCAUCCAAAGAAAAUUUCUAGUUUGGAAAAUCGAAUGAUACGCCCUGGUGAAUAAUUUCACUUGCCCUCUGUAUAUAUAUCACGAAAUAAAAUAAAAGAAA
Long non-coding RNA from Microplitis mediator, 803 nucleotides. RefSeq lists it as uncharacterized. Lineage: Eukaryota; Metazoa; Arthropoda; Insecta; Hymenoptera; Braconidae. The transcript is spliced from 3 exons. The record is from RefSeq and is a predicted model, not a curated record.